This 222-nucleotide long non-coding RNA is filed under the name Carica papaya (papaya). Its description in RNAcentral is "long non-coding RNA (CPAP_LNC009782)". The record is from RNAcentral. Lineage: Eukaryota; Viridiplantae; Streptophyta; Magnoliopsida; Brassicales; Caricaceae.
UUACGCAAAAUACUGUAUUAUUUAUAAUUAGACUUCAAUUUCAUAAUAAAAAAUAAGGUGAGGGAUUCUUAUCCGAAUCGGUGUUCGAAAUAUUAAACUUUCAGCUGCGCCUACUGGCGGUCCCCAGGUUCCCUGAAUUUUCUUUUGAAGAUUAAAACACGCUUCAAGUACUUAGAAAUACCCCAAAAAACCUAAAAUCGAUGUUAAAAACCUUUGUUUGUC